GAUGAACGCUGGCGGCGUGCCUAAUACAUGCAAGCCGAGCGAACGGACGAGAAGCUUGCUUCUCUGAUGUUAGCGGCGGACGGGUGAGUAACACGUGGAUAACCUACCUAUAAGACUGGGAUAACUUCGGGAAACCGGAGCUAAUACCGGAUAAUAUUUUGAACCGCAUGGUUCAAAAGUGAAAGACGGUCUUGCUGUCACUUAUAGAUGGAUCCGCGCUGCAUUAGCUAGUUGGUAAGGUAACGGCUUACCAAGGCAACGAUGCAUAGCCGACCUGAGAGGGUGAUCGGCCACACUGGAACUGAGGCACGGUCCAGACUCCUACGGGAGGCAGCAGUAGGGAAUCUUCCGCAAUGGGCGAAAGCCUGACGGAGCAACGCCGCGUGAGUGAUGAAGGUCUUCGGAUCGUAAAACUCUGUUAUUAGGGAAGAACAUAUGUGUAAGUAACUGUGCACAUCUUGACGGUACCUAAUCAGAAAGCCACGGCUAACUACGUG
Molecule: ribosomal RNA, 497 nt
Filed under: uncultured bacterium
Lineage: Bacteria
Description: partial 16S ribosomal RNA
Rfam family: Bacterial small subunit ribosomal RNA
Source: RNAcentral